UGGGGGAUAUUGCACAAUGGGGGAAACCCUGAUGCAGCAACGCCGCGUGAGGGAAGAAGGUUUUCGGAUUGUAAACCUCUGUCCUUGGUGAAGAUAAUGACGGUAGCCAAGGAGGAAGCUCCGGCUAACUACGUGCCAGCAGCCGCGGUAAUACGUAGGGAGCGAGCGUUGUCCGGAUUUACUGGGUGUAAAGGGUGCGUAGGCGGCUAUGCAAGUCAGGUGUGAAAACUAUGGGCUUAACCCAUAGACUGCACUUGAAACUGUGUAGCUUGAGUGAAGUAGAGGUAGGCGGAAUUCCCGGUGUAGCGGUGAAAUGCGUAGAGAUCGGGAGGAACACCAGUGGCGAAGGCGGCCUACUGGGCUUUAACUGACGCUGAAGCACGAAAGCGUGGGUAGCAAACAGG
This 404-nucleotide ribosomal RNA is filed under the name uncultured bacterium. Its description in RNAcentral is "bacterial SSU rRNA". It matches the Rfam family "Bacterial small subunit ribosomal RNA", at positions 355 to 776 of the family's 1533-position model. The record is from RNAcentral.